RNAcentral lists this ribosomal RNA (483 nucleotides) under uncultured bacterium. RNAcentral's name for it is "partial 16S ribosomal RNA". It matches the Rfam family "Bacterial small subunit ribosomal RNA", at positions 28 to 507 of the family's 1533-position model. The record is from RNAcentral.
GACGAACGCUGGCGGCGCGCCUAACACAUGCAAGUCGAGCGGGGAUUUAAGUGGAAGUUCUUCGGAAUGGAGAUUUAAAUUCUAGCGGCGGACGGGUGAGUAACGCGUGAACAAUCUGUCCCGGACAGGGGGAUAACACUUGGAAACAGGUGCUAAUACCGCAUAAGACCACGGCCUCGCAUGGGGCUGAGGUAAAAGGAGCAAUCCGGUUCGGGGUGAGUUCGCGUCCGAUUAGCUAGUUGGUGAGGUAACGGCCCACCAAGGCGACGAUCGGUAGCCGGCCUGAGAGGGUGAACGGCCACAUUGGAACUGAGAGACGGUCCAAACUCCUACGGGAGGCAGCAGUGGGGAAUAUUGGGCAAUGGGCGAAGGCCUGACCCAGCAACGCCGCGUGAGGGAAGAAGGUUUUCGGAUUGUAAACCUCUGUCCUAUGGGACGAAGGAAGUGACGGUACCAUAGGAGGAAGCCCCGGCUAACUACGUG